GCUGGUGGCCUUAGCGCAGGGGAUACACUCGUUCCCAUCUCGAACACGACCGUUAAGUCCUGCAGCGCGGAUGGUACUGCCGGGGAGAUCCGGUGGGAGAGUACGUCGUCGCCAGCG
Molecule: ribosomal RNA, 117 nt
Filed under: Longimicrobiales bacterium
Lineage: Bacteria; Pseudomonadati; Gemmatimonadota; Longimicrobiia; Longimicrobiales
Source: RNAcentral